Molecule: long non-coding RNA, 648 nt
Organism: Folsomia candida
Lineage: Eukaryota; Metazoa; Arthropoda; Collembola; Entomobryomorpha; Isotomidae
Exons: 2
Source: RefSeq, a predicted model, not a curated record
UAAAGCAAGUUUUACUCAACAUUGAACAAAAUUUGACUUUUUUUCUGAUUAAAUAUAAAAUUAAUCAAUGUUGGGCGAUAAAUGCACAACAAGUUGACUAACUUUUACUCAACACGUUGAUUAAUUUUUACUCAACGCGUUGAGUAAAAUCAACUUCGCCUAUUUAUCAGCCACACGAACGCUGUCAGUUGGUUACAGCAAGUUUAAAAAGAAGCAGCAGUAAAUUUAUUCGAUCAUCAUUAGUCAAUAUUUAAAAUGGCCCGACGACUUGAAAAAUCUCUUAAAAUAACCGGUGGAGUCCAAUCUGCAGAUAAGUUAAAAGGGAACGAUGACGACGACAGUUUUUUUAAUUUGCUGGACGGUGCCGCUGGUUUACCAUAAGAACACGGUUGCUGAAAUGAUUUCAUCAGUUGCCCACACAUUUAAAUUAAUUACAACCAGAGAGGUUAGUAAAUAGAUAAGGGCUUCGUCAGAUUAUCUCUAAAAAUUAUACUUGUAUGUAUGUAUGUAUGUAUGUAUGUACAUAAUUAGUAUUUGGAAGUAAUAUCCCAGUAUCUUUAUGAUAAUUAAUUGUUUUGUACUUAUGUAGAAUUUAUAAAAUGUAAAACGAGUACAAUAAUAAUAAAUAAUGAAUUUUAAGAAGGUAAA